Molecule: long non-coding RNA, 204 nt
Filed under: Musa acuminata (dwarf banana)
Lineage: Eukaryota; Viridiplantae; Streptophyta; Magnoliopsida; Zingiberales; Musaceae
Description: long non-coding RNA (MACU_LNC010255)
Source: RNAcentral
CCUCCUUUAUCACUUCGAGGGGAUCGACCCUCCUUGAUCACUUCGAGGGGAUCGGCCUCCUAGGGUUGUCCAAAGAUAGAAUAGUAUUUUUCAUAGAUUACUGAAAAGAAGCAGUUACAUCCCUAUUUAUAGAGUUCCACCCAAAGUCCAUCAGGACUUGAACUCUAAUAAUAAAUAAAUAUUAAAUAAACCUCUACUUGACUC